GGUCGAAUGGCGUAGUGGUUAGUGUCCCUGACUGCUAUGCCGAAGGUCCCGGGUUCGAUUCCCGACUGGGGCA
Molecule: transfer RNA, 73 nt
Filed under: Plutella xylostella (diamondback moth)
Lineage: Eukaryota; Metazoa; Arthropoda; Insecta; Lepidoptera; Plutellidae
Description: tRNA-Ser
Source: RNAcentral